Peromyscus californicus insignis is the source of this 6858-nucleotide long non-coding RNA. RefSeq lists it as uncharacterized. The transcript has 3 exons. NCBI's taxonomy places the organism in Eukaryota, Metazoa, Chordata, Mammalia, Rodentia, Cricetidae. The record is from RefSeq and is a predicted model, not a curated record.
CCCUGCCCUGCUCCCAGGGUGACCUUGGGGACCCAGGGAGCUCCUGCACUUCUUGGGGUGGUGGGAGGAGUGCCCAGCAGCUCCUGCCUGGUACCUUCUCUCUCCUCUGCCCUUCCUCUGAGCAUCUUCACUGGAAGCCCCUCAGCCACAACCAUCCUCCGGGUUUCUGACUCAAAGUUAGACUGUGGGCCUGAGCAGGGCAGGAACCACAAAGCCAGCUGUUUGGCCCAUACCCCUCAAAAGGAAACUUCAGAUUCCCUGCUCUGUGGUCUAAGAGGCCAGGCAGAGGCAGAGGUCUCGGGCAGCCACAGACCUGAGGCAAGCAGUGGCCUCUGGAUAGGCAACCAUCUAUCCUCAGCACGCUUAGGGCCACAGCUUCUCGGGCCACAGCUUCUCAGACAACACCUAGGAGAUGCCACCCUUGGACUGGGAAUGUGCAAAGUGCCUGGGAUGAGGGAGGAAAGAGCAGCUCACUGUGGCCUGGCUGUGAUUGCCCCACAAGGAUCCCAGCGGUGCCCACAGCAGCCCCUAGAAAGUUACUACUGUUGGCAUGCUACAGAGGAGGGAACUGAGGCAUGGAGCUGAGCAAGGACGGUGAGUUCUGAGACUGGGCACCCCAGGCCUUGGCUCCCUUGGCGAUCUCGACAGGCCCUGGCUGUGGUGAAGAUGAAAGGCAGAGGGAUAGAGAAGGUUCUGGAACAGCUGUCCUGAGACCGUCCAGGCCUAGCGAGAGCCAGGAGGUCUCGAUGUAAACAGUUUCUCGGUGAUUUCCAGUGUCAUAAGUUGCGACACAGUCUUGUAACUGUGCCCCCCUCCGCCCCACAGCUUUUCAUUUCUUGUCCUAGUGAGGACCUCAACAGUGGUGACAGUAGCAGCACCUGACUGGGCAUCUGGGCACCCAGUCCCGGUCUCAGCUUUGGCUUGGAAAGUCACCCUGAGCUGUUGUGGCCGGCCCCAGGGACCACCCUCACCCCAGUGUUACUCACCACGGCUCCCUCUCAGCUCCAGCCCCAGCCCUGCUGGCCAGCAAAGUUUCCUUCAGAUGAACAGACUAAGCAAGGGUCCAGGAGCUAGCCCAACUUGCCAGGAAGCAGCCUGGACUCGUCCAUCUGGGGAAUCCAGCUUCUGACAGCUGUGUGACAGAGCUGCUUGGGACCAGCCCUCCCAUGUCCCUUUGACGGGUGCCCACCAUACUCCCUCCCGUUCCCGAGCCUUCUCUCCUGAGCCCACCCAAUGGUUUCCUUACUUCCCUGGAAAUUGGAUGGCAGUUGGCCAAUGCAUGUGUAUGUGGUACAUGUGUGCAUGUUUGUGUGGGUGUUUGCACAUGUGUUCCAGGGUGCAUGUGCUACGUGUUUACACAGAGACUAGAGAUGUCUAGCUUGCUUUUCAGACAAGGGCUCUCACUGAACCCAAAACUCUCUGAUGAGCUCAGGGGACCUGCUUGACUGUCAUCUCCUCCUGAGCACCAGAACUUCUGACAAAUGCUGCUACUCCUGGCUUUUAUGUGGGUGCCGGGGAGCCAAACUCGGUCCUCCAUGGUUGAAGAGCAAACACUCUGAGCACUGAGCCAUCUCCCAGCCCUGCCUUUUGUGUGACCCGGUUUAAUUUCCGUCUUUGUCGCCGUGAUUCCCAUUUACAGAAACGUUGGCGGUGUGUGUGUGUGGCCUUGCUGUGUGAUUACCGGCCAGGGUCACUCACACAUACAAGCUGUUGCUGUGGCUUGUCUCUGAAGGGUCUCCGAUUCUGGGGUGGGUGAUAGCGGGAGACAGAACUGGAGGCCAUGGAGCGACCUUGGAGCCUCACCUCACCUCUGGGAGUCCUGGCUUCCUGAUUUCCGGCGUGGAGACAGGCUGAUGAGAGUUCAGUGGGAUUCACUCCUGAAGAGUGUCUCGCUGGCUGCCUGGUUUGUAAGGACUGUGCUGAUAUCACACAGUACCUGGGGACGGGGAAAGGGUCUGACUAAGGUGUUAGGCGUGUCAUUGAAGAACCCAGGGCGCAUGCGCAAACCAGGACAGCUAUGCCAUCACUGGCUGAGCAGCCUAUGAUGUAGGCCUCUUACAUGUCAUCCAUCGCUGACCAAGACCCUCAAUGUAGCGUGUAGCUGACCAACCAUGGCCCUGCUGCCAGGGACCAGCCCACCUGGGCUGGCUUUUGCAGGUUGCCCUUCAUGGCAAGUGUAUGACCAGCAGGUAGGGCUGUCGGAGGUAGGCUGUUUGGAUCUGGCUUCCGGGAUUCUGGGCAGGGGCAGGACGGGGGCUUUGGCCGUGCUGGCCACUGUAGUCUUGCUUGGGAAGAAUGGGUUAGAAAGACGUCAGUCUCGAAAGUAGUCUCGUUUACCUCCUACCAAGGUCCUUAUCCUUAGGCUUUUCAAGAAGAGGUGGCGCGGUGCUGGUGUGGUGCUGGUGUGGUACUGGUGUGGUGCUAGUGUGGUGCUGGCGUGGUGCUGGCAGGGUGGUGGUGUGGUGCUGGUGUGGUGGUAGUGUGGUAGUGGUGAUGAUGUAAUAGUGAUGUGGUGGUGGGUGGUGAUGGUGUGAUGAUGGUGGUGUGGUGUAGUGGUAUGGUGGCGGUGGUGGUAUGGUAGUGUUGUGAUGAUGGUGGUAAGGUGCUGCUGUAGUGGUGGUAUGAUGGUGGUGGUGGUGUGUGUUUUGAGACAGGGUUUCACCUUGUAGCCCAGGCUGGACUUGAACCCAUCACCCCCACCUGUUGUCAUCCCCAGUAUCUAACAGACAUGUGCCACUAAACCUGACUCAAAAAAGUCUUUUUCAGUGACCUUUCUGAACCACACCCAGUGUCUGAAUACUUGCUUAAUGCCCAGAGGUGUUCCUGGCCCAGAAAAGGUCAGACAGGGUGGCCCACAUUGUGAGCAUGUGUGGGUCUUCUCAGUUAUUUCUCUGUUGUCGUGAUAAAAUACCCUGACAGAAGCCCCUAAGAAAGGGAGGGUUUUCUUUGCCCGACACACAGCAUCUAAGAACAUCAAGACAGCAGCAGCCGGCCACAUCAGAUCCAGUCAGGAAGCAGAGAGCCAUGAAUGUGUAGUGGACCUAGUUCCUUUUCUCCAUUUCAGCCCAAGAUCCCAACCAAGGAAUGGAGCUACCCAGAGUGGGUGGGUCUUCCCACUCCAUCCCCUGGAAGUAAGCCUGUCCCCUAGAUUCUGUCAGGUUGACAAUUCGUGCUAACCAUCCCGGAAGCCAAAGCCCCUACCUGCCCAGUUUGGCCUCACAGUGUCCUGGGGAGUGUGGGGAUGGAGGCGCCUGUCCCAGGCUGGAGGGGACUAGCACUGUCACACUAAAGGUCCCUGGUGUGAGGUGCUGGGGCUGCUGGGCCUUAAGUCCUGUCCUGGUUCAUAGUAGAGCUGUGAGCUUGGCAGGGAAGGCAGCCCUGGAGUGUGGGUCCCAGCAGCUGGCACUAGGCAAAGUUUGGGGUACAAAGUAGGCAUGCCUCUGCCCUAGAAGAGGUACUUCCUGGGAGCAGAGACUCACCAAGAAGGGGACCUCUGAAGACAGUGGGGUUGAGAGGGACAGAAUACGGCACACAGUGAGAUGUCACCAAGGUCUGCUCCUGGACCUGCUUGCCAGCACUCCCCUAGCUGGAGAGAUGGCUCAGUGCCUGAGAGACUUCUUACUUUCAGGAUUCUGACUCAGUUCCCAGCACCCACAGCAGGCCGCUCAACCACCUGUAACUGAGAGAGGAUCUGACACUCUGUCUCCCGCAGGCACCUGCAUGCACGUGGGGCACACACACUCACGUGACCUCACACAUAUGCACAAAAAAUAAAAAACAAGUGUGGACAGGGUGUGGUGGCACAUGCCUAUAAUCCCAACACUCAGGAGGCAGAGGCAGGCAGACCUCUGAGUUCAAGGCCAGCCUGGACUAUAUAGCAAGUUUCAGGACAGCCAGGGCCACAUAGUGAGACCUUUUCAAAAAAAAAGUCCCUCUGGUGCACCAACAUUCCUUAGGUCCUUUGUUACAGCAGAUGGACUGUCUGUCAUUUGUUCCCAAAGUGGAUGUGUGUGUGUGUGUGUGUGUGUGUGUGUGUGUGUGUGUUGUUAGUGCAUGUGUAUACAUGUGUGUGUGCACCUGUGUAUACAUACAUAAGGAGGUUAAAGGUCAACACUGGGUAUCUUCCUCAACCAGUCUUUACCUCCAGUGUGUGGUGUCUGUGUGUGUGUGUGUGUGUGUGUGUGUGUGUGUGUGUGUGUGUGUGUGUGUUUUGUGUUUAGCCCUGACACUGGCCUGGAACUCACAGAGAUCCACCUGCUUCUGCCUCCAGACAACUGGGAUUCAAGGCAUGUUCCACAUGCCCAGCCUCUACCCUACUUUGUGAGACAGGGCCUCUCACUGAACCUGGAGCCACCAACUGGCCAGACUGACUGGCCAGGCAACUCUAGGUAUCCUCCUGCCUCAGCCUUCCCAGAGCUGAGAUCAUAGAUGUAUACACUGCCAUGCCUGGAUUUUGUUUGUUUGUUUUGUUUUUUGAGACGGGGUUUCUCUGUGUAGCCCUGGCUGUCCUGGAACUCACUCUGUAGCCCAGGCUGGCCUUGAACUCACAGAGAUCCUCCUGCCUCUGCCUCCCGAGUACUGGGAUUAAAGGCGUGCGCCACCACUGCCCGGCUCGGAUUUUUUUUUUUUUUUUAAGUGUGGUUCCAAGGGAUUCCACUCAAUUCUUCUUCAUGCUUAUCUGACAAGCACUUGACUGAACCUCUCACCAGCCAGUAAUCUUUUAGAAUUACAUUUCCUCAUUUAUUUACAUGUGUAGUAUGUGUAUGGGCAGGCCCAUGUCACAGCAAGCAUGUGGAGAUCAUGGAACAACUUGCUGGAGUCAGUUCUCUCCUUCCACCAUGUGGGUUCCAGGGAUUGAACUCGGGUCCUCAGGCUUGGCAGCAAGGUCCUUUACCCACUGAGUCACCUUGCCUGCCCCUGAGAAUCAUUUUUUUUUUUUAAUGUGCAUUGAUGUUUUGCAAUGGGUGCUGGGUUGGGUCCCCUGGAACUGGAGUUACAGACAGUUAUGAGAGCUGCCUGUGGGUACUGAGAAUUGAACCCAGGUCCUCUGGAAGAGCAGCCAGUACUCUUAACCACUGAGCCAUCUCUCCAGCCCUGAGAAUCAUUUUAAAGAAGCUAUUGUGCCCUUCUUCGUAGUGGCUUCCAGAGUGCUCAGAGGUGACUUUCUGUUUGGGAUGGAGAAGACAUACCCUCAGGAUCGUGGACUCUGGGGACCUCGGUCCCAGGUGGAGGAGAGGGCAGUUGCCAGUCAGUGGCAGAUACUCCAAGUCCAUCAUCCCUCUGAGUCCACUAUGGCCUCUGAACUUUCCUGGCAGGUGCAUCCAAGGCUUGGAACCCCCUGUGUUGUGAGUUUCAGAAGAUCAGGAAUUCAGCUGCAGCCUCACUGGCUGUCCCCAGCCUGAGGACACUGUGGCUGCAGCUGUCUGAAGGGUAUGUGCUUCCUACAGACUUGUCUCGUGAACCACGGGGCUGCUUGAGUUUCCUUCCAAGAUGGCAGCUGGCUUCCACCAGAUUGGGCAAUGUAAAAGAGUCUUUAUGACCAUGCCUUGGACAGCACGUUAGCCACCAGCCCUGUUCACUGUGGAAGGAGACAAUACAGCCUGUAAAUGCCUGAAGGCAGGAAUCAUUUGGAGACCAUCUUGGAGGUUGGUGACCAUGGCAACCAUCACGUCAACACAAAGAGAGGUAUCUUUCCUGGAGCACAUUGUUGGUUUCCUACCAUUUAGUGGACAUGACGGCUUGGGUAUUAACCAGGGAUGUGAAGGAAAUGGAAGAAACGGGAACUUAUCAGCCACACUGAGCUCCGGGGACGACAGCUGUACUCGGUCAGGUCAUGAGUGCCAUGACACCAGGCAACCCUCACCCCGGGCAGCCUGUUCCACCCACGUUCCCAGGUGGCUCCUGCUUCCUCUGGUUCAGACUUGCUGAGGGAAAGCCUGAGCUACAGAGAUGGGGAUGAGAGCUGAGCCAAAGCCGUGGCUCACAAGGAGGUUGAGACCCUGUGACCCACAGGCCUCACAGAGGAAGACUUGUGUUGAGGGGCUGGGGAAUUCUGUGCUGGAAGCCUCUCGCAGCCACUCAGGUACUCCUGUGCCUGCCUUUCAGCCACAGCUAGCUGGAGCAUCCCCUGGGUGACCUGGACCCCCAGGGCCCUGCCCAGGCUUGGGGAGGACUCUUGACUUACCUGCGGGUUCUGUGGGUGUCAUCCUUCGCCCCAGACCCACAAAAUCACAAAUCCCAUCCAGUGUUUGGGCCCACAGUUCCUGCGGCUGCGGCUAGUCCUUGCAAGCCUGUGGCUCACCACAUAAUUUCACCAAGAGCCAUCGUGAGUGGGUAUAGACAUGGCCUUGCUCUCAAGUUCAAGAUCAGCCUUAGCUGUGUAGAAAGAGUUCAAGACUAGCCUGGACCACACCAGACCUGUCUCAAAACAAACAAAAACAAGCCGCGAGGUCAGCAAGAUGUCUCAGAGGACAAAAGCAUUUGCCUAGCAAACCUGACAACCGAGUUUGAUCCCUGGAACCUACGAAAAGGUGGAAGGACAGAAAUAAAUUCACAAAGUUGUCCUCUGACCUCCACACACACACGGUGGCAAGUGUUCAUAUACCCACUACACACACAAACACAAAACCACUACAUUUUAAAAAGUUAAACCAGCCAGGAGGUACCACUUCCCACGUGUCAGGACAGCCACAGUCAAGAGAAAGAGAAUAACAAGUGUUGGCGAGGAUGUGAAGAGGGUGCUUUGAAACAGUCACUAUGGAAACAAGAUGAAGCACUGACCCGAUGGUGCAGUUACUAUGGAAACGGGAUACUGGUUCCCCCAAAAGAAAUAAAAGAAAAGAACUACUGUAUGCUUGA